AUUGAAUGCUGGCGGCAUGCUUUACACAUGCAAGUCGAACGGUAACAGGCCUUCGGGUGCUGACGAGUGGCGAACGGGUGAGUAAUGCAUCGGAACGUACCCAGAGGUGGGGAUAACGCCGCGAAAGCUUUGCUAAUACCGCCUGUUAACUGAGGAUGAAAGCGGGGGGCCGGGCCGCAAUGUUUGGCCUCGCGCCUUUGGAGCGGCCGAUGUCGGAUUAGCUAGUUGGUGGGGUAAAGGCCUACCAAGGCGACGAUCCGUAGCUGGUCUGAGAGGACGACCAGCCACACUGGGACUGAGACACGGCCCAGACUCCUACGGGAGGCAGCAGUGGGGAAUUUUGGACAAUGGGCGCAAGCCUGAUCCAGCAAUGCCGCGUGCGGGAAGAAGGCCUUCGGGUUGUAAACCGCUUUUGGCAGGAACGAAACGGUGUCCGCUAAUACCGGGCGCUAAUGACGGUACCUGCAGAAUAGGCACCGGCUAACUACGUG
This 491-nucleotide ribosomal RNA is filed under the name uncultured bacterium. RNAcentral's name for it is "partial 16S ribosomal RNA". It matches the Rfam family "Bacterial small subunit ribosomal RNA", at positions 30 to 507 of the family's 1533-position model. The record is from RNAcentral.